Molecule: ribosomal RNA, 466 nt
Filed under: uncultured bacterium
Lineage: Bacteria
Description: bacterial SSU rRNA
Rfam family: Bacterial small subunit ribosomal RNA
Source: RNAcentral
GAACGACGUUCAUUUGUGUAUCAAUACCGAGCGAAGCUAGUGGCGAACGGGUGCGUAACACAUGAGUCAUCUGCCCAGAAGUGGGGAAUAUCUCGGCGAAAGCCGGAUUAAUACCGCAUGUGGUCGUAAGACCAAAGCCGGGGCAACCUGGCGCUUUUGGAGGAGCUCGUGGCCUAUCAGCUAGUUGGUGAGGUAACGGCUUACCAAGGCAACGACGGGUAGCUGGUCUGAGAUGACGAUCAUCCACACUGGAACUGAGAUACGGUCCAGACACCUACGGGUGGCAGCAGUCGAGAAUUUUUCUCAAUGGGGGAAACCCUGAAUGAGCGACGCCGCGUGGAGGAUGAAUGCUUUCGGGUUGUAAACUCCUGUCAUUUGGGAACAAGGCCUUACGUUAACUGCGUGGAGGAUUGAUAGUACCAUAAGAGGACUAGACGGCUAACUCUGUGCCAGCAGCCGCGGUAAU